RNAcentral lists this ribosomal RNA (868 nucleotides) under Strigeidida sp. S6N3B5(L). RNAcentral describes it as "SSU rRNA". It matches the Rfam family "Eukaryotic small subunit ribosomal RNA", at positions 951 to 1763 of the family's 1831-position model. The record is from RNAcentral. Lineage: Eukaryota; Metazoa; Platyhelminthes; Trematoda; Strigeidida.
GCAUUUGCCAAGAAUGUUUUCAUUGAUCAGGAGCGAAAGUCAGAGGUUCGAAGACGAUCAGAUACCGUCCUAGUUCUGACCAUAAACGAUGCCAACUGACGAUCCGCGGCGGUUCUUUAAUUGGCCCCGCGGGCAGUCCCCGGGAAACCCUUAAGUCUUUGGGCUCCGGGGGAAGUAUGGUUGCAAAGCUGAAACUUAAAGGAAUUGACGGAAGGGCACCACCAGGAGUGGAGCCUGCGGCUUAAUUCGACUCAACACGGGAAAACUCACCCGGCCCGGACACUGUGAGGAUUGACAGAUUGAUAGCUCUUUCUUGAUUCGGUGGUUGGUGGUGCAUGGCCGUUCUUAGUUGGUGGAGCGAUUUGUCUGGUUAAUUCCGAUAACGAACGAGACUUUGACCUACUAAUUAGUAUGCCUAUCCUCUGUGCUCGUGCAGGUCUCGGUUUCAGUUGCCUCCUCGAGGGGUGGUGGAGUCGUGGAUCGGCGGGUACGGCGUGGUGCUUACUUCUUAGAGGGACAAGCGGCGCUUCAAAGUCGCACGAAAUUGAGCAAUAACAGGUCUGUGAUGCCCUUAGAUGUCCGGGGCCGCACGUGCGCUACAAUGACGGUGCCAGCGAGCAUGGAAACCUGGCCCGAAAGGGUUGGGCAAACUUUUCAUCACCGUCGUGACUGGGAUCGGGGCUUGCAAUUAUUCCCCGUGAACGAGGAAUUCCUAGUAAGUGCAAGUCAUAAGCUUGCGCUGAUUACGUCCCUGCCCUUUGUACACACCGCCCGUCGCUACUACCGAUUGAAUGGUUAAGCUGAGGAAAUCGGAUUGGUACUGUUUUAGCGGCUCUGUCGCUUGACUGGUAUCGAAAAGAUGACCAAA